RNAcentral lists this ribosomal RNA (253 nucleotides) under uncultured bacterium. RNAcentral describes it as "partial 16S ribosomal RNA". It matches the Rfam family "Bacterial small subunit ribosomal RNA", at positions 524 to 776 of the family's 1533-position model. The record is from RNAcentral.
UACGGAGGGUGCAAGCGUUGUUCGGAAUCACUGGGCGUAAAGCGCGUGUAGGCGGCCUUCUCAGUCUGGUGUGAAAGCCCGGGGCUCACCCCCGGAAGUGCAUUGGAUACUGGAAGGCUGGAGUACCGGAGAGGAGGGUGGAAUUCCUGGUGUAGCGGUGAAAUGCGUAGAUAUCAGGAGGAACACCGGCGGCGAAGGCGGCCCUCGGGCGCGUUGCUGACGCUGAGACGCGAAAGCGUGGGGAGCAAACAGG